AUGGCUCACCUGCUGUUCAAGGCUGGGCAGCCUGCACUUUUCCAGAAUCUUAUCUUCCUCCUCCCAUUGUUGCCACACAUGUGCCUUACCUCACGUGUCACAGGAGGUCCCAAAGGUCCUAGUCUUAUGAGCCUCCUCUCUUCCUUCUCACUGAGCCAUGGCCUGUGUCAUGGGGCACAGCUAAACAUCUCACUCAAUAUCCAACUCAACAAAGGAAAGGCGGGCUUUCAGACAGGGUCCCCCAGUGGUUUGGGACAGUGUGGUCAUGAGCCAUUGGAAGAAGACAAAGGAGCUCACUUAAGGGCUCACACACCACAUCUCGGGGACAGGCCACUGGGUGACAGCACAGGUGUGAUCUACAAGCAGCUGAGGACAAAGCCCCGGAGAAGUCCAGGUGACAGACAAUUCAGGAAUUUCUUCUGGGAGCCCCAAGGAUCCCUGUGCCCAGACUUCAGGUGGGGAAUACAAAAUUAUACUUAAAAUCUUAAAAUCAUAGCACCUGCUUGAAGGGCCUGCCCCGAAGACUUACUGCGUUGGAGGCUACGGGUGAUCAUAGCAACAAGAAAUACAGCUUCCGUCAAUUCAGCCAAUAGUGUGUGCUCAUAGCACCUCUCAGUUGCCGUGUGUCGUAACCACAAAGGCUUAGCACUUGAUAUUUCUUAGAUUUAUUUUGAUAAUACCAUGUUAAUGUUAAGCGGAUGUAUAAAGAGGCGAGUCUGGAGAACUACAAAUAGAAGGAAAUUCGCUCUCAUCUAGUGGCUCACAAGAGGGCCUGCAUGGAGGAGGAGGCAGUGAGGACCCAUGGGGCAGACCCCAGACGACCCUCAGCCAGGCCUGCCGGCUGCGCAUAGGGACACCUGUUCUUUCCUUUUGGCUCUACAGUUCUGAGUUUCCACUGGCCACACGAACAUAGAGAUUCCCAAAUCCUCUUCAAAUAGAGGCCCUGUUCAAGGCUCGUUGGCCCCAAAAUCUCUCUUUCCCUCCUCUCUCUCUGUCUGUCUCUGUCUGCGUGUCCAUCUGCAUAGCCCUCCAGCUCUUGUCCUGCAGCCUUGCUCCUUCUGCUCCUGAAGGCGUCUCUGCUUCUCCCCACCACUCAACUCCAUCUGCUAAAUCUGUGCGCCCACCCCACUUGCUGAACCUGCCCUGGCCAAGGUCGCUUCCUAAAUGCCACGCAAGCUGGGGUCGCCUUCAGUGCUUACUCCUUUGUCCCUGUGGCAUCCAGCACUCCCGACCAUGUUCUUUUUUUGCCAAGACCCCCUCCACCUUGGCUUUCCUGCCUCUCAUUACAGCCCUGACUCCCAGCUUGUUUUAACUCCGAGGUUCCCCCACCGGGUCCUCGUCUUCCACUUGCCCCUGAACCGUGCGUGUUUUCUGGGUCCUCUGCUCGGUCCCCUUUCCCACCACCCCCCAUGCAUGGACAGUCUCACUGCUCCAGAGAAGGGACUAAUCUUUCCCAGACACGGACGUCUACCUGCCCUGUGCUCAGCCCCUUCCUGGACAUUUCCCCUGAGGUGUCUCCCAUCAUGGUCCCAGAUGACCUCACCAUGGCCCUCCUAUCUCCCUC
This 1564-nucleotide long non-coding RNA is filed under the name Canis lupus familiaris (dog). RNAcentral's name for it is "lncRNA (ENSCAFG00030020780.1)". The record is from RNAcentral. Lineage: Eukaryota; Metazoa; Chordata; Mammalia; Carnivora; Canidae.